RNAcentral lists this ribosomal RNA (253 nucleotides) under uncultured bacterium. RNAcentral's name for it is "partial 16S ribosomal RNA". It matches the Rfam family "Bacterial small subunit ribosomal RNA", at positions 524 to 776 of the family's 1533-position model. The record is from RNAcentral.
UACGUAGGGACCGAGCGUUGUCCGGAUUCAUUGGGCGUAAAGAGCUCGUAGGCGGCCACUCAAGUCGAAUGUGAAACCUCGAGGCUUAACCUCGAGCCUGCAUUCGAUACUGGGCGGCUAGAGUCUGGUAGGGGGAUCUGGAAUUCCUGGUGUAGCGGUGAAAUGCGCAGAUAUCAGGAGGAACACCGGUGGCGAAGGCGGAUCUCUGGGCCAUUACUGACGCUGAGGAGCGAAAGCGUGGGGAGCGAACAGG